This 359-nucleotide ribosomal RNA is filed under the name uncultured Spirochaeta sp. RNAcentral describes it as "bacterial SSU rRNA". It matches the Rfam family "Bacterial small subunit ribosomal RNA", at positions 1023 to 1382 of the family's 1533-position model. The record is from RNAcentral. Lineage: Bacteria; Pseudomonadati; Spirochaetota; Spirochaetia; Spirochaetales; Spirochaetaceae.
CGGGUCGGCGUACAGGUGCUGCAUGGCUGUCGUCAGCUCGUGCUGUGAAGUGUUGGGUUAAGUCCCGCAACGAGCGCAACCCUGCUAUCUGUUGCCAGCAAGUAAUGUUGGGGACUCAGAUGGAACUGCCGGUGACAAACCGGAGGAAGGUGGGGACGACGUCAAGUCAUCAUGGCCCUUAUGUCCUGGGCUACACACGUGCUACAAUGGCCGGUACAGAGCGCAGCGAAGCCGCGAGGCGAAGCGAAUCGCAAAAAGCCGGUCUCAGUACGGAUUGGAGUCUGAAACCCGACUCCAUGAAGUUGGAAUCGCUAGUAAUCGCGCAUCAGCAUGGCGCGGUGAAUACGUUCCCGGGCCUU